This is a long non-coding RNA of Cyprinodon variegatus (sheepshead minnow), 1658 nucleotides long. RefSeq lists it as uncharacterized. The record is from RefSeq and is a predicted model, not a curated record. Lineage: Eukaryota; Metazoa; Chordata; Actinopteri; Cyprinodontiformes; Cyprinodontidae. The transcript has 5 exons.
UUUCCUCUCUUUUGUCCUAAAGGGCCUUGAGAUGAUAUGUGUUUUGAAUUACUGCUAUAUGAAUAAACUUAAUUAAAUUAAAUGUGUUCUAGUGGAUCCUGUUGCACCAUCAUGCUCAGAAGGCGAUUAUCUGCCCAGAUUUCUGCCUCCAACUCCAGAACAUGGAGCUCGAUUCUACUGUAACGUCAAUCAGCCUCUGGAGAUCAAAAUCAGCGGAAUCGCAAAUAAGGCUGAGACCUUGGAGCUUCUGUUCAGCGGACCUCACAAUGUGGUCAAAACUUCUUCAGGAUCAGGAAACUUCUAUCUGAAAUGGAAACCAUCUAUAAUUGAUGAAGGACCUGGCCAUCCCAUCUGUUUUGUUAUUCAGAGUUCACUUUUAUAUUCUGUGUAUCAGUCUGAACUUCGAUGUGUCGUUGUGACAGUUAAGCGUGAUCCUGUUGUUCUAAAACUGACCAUAUGGACUACACUGUCACUGGAGGAAAACAAGGACAACAUUUUAAAAACGGUGAGAGAAGAACUUGUCAAACUAGGCUUGCCAGCACAUGUCCCGGUGCGGCUGAAGGGGGACGAUCAAGCCGAAGAAAGUGGCAGUGCUUCCCCCUAGUGGCUAAAUUUGAGAAUGAGCGUGAAACCUGCUGGGAAACUUGACUGGGAUUAUCUGUUUGUUUUUUUUCAGUUUCAUAUGAACAGAUGGUUUGUCUUUUUGUUUAUUAUAAUUCUACAUUUUCCUGAUAUUUAAUACACAGUUCUCUAUUGUGUAAAAUACAAAGAUAUUGCAAAAUAUUGAUAUAUUCACAUGCAUCAAUAUCAAUUACUCAUCAUAACGAAGUAAAUGAGUUGAAGAAAAAUGUUUUUCACCAGAGCUAUUUAUUAAGGAAUGUAUUUACCAAGGGUUAUUGUUAGCCACUUUCCAUCUGAAUAUUUUUCAUUUAUGCUUCUGAGGCUUUUAGUGAUCUUCACAUCUGAUCUUUUUCUACACCUGCUGAUUAUAGAGCUAUAAACAGCAUAUAUUUUUUGUAUAAAUUAUUCAUUAUGUCAGCAAAUUCAGGUCCCAAUGGCUCCUUUUGUGAUCUGGAACACAAAUUAGAAAUUAAGGCAUUGUCGAAGGUUUAUAGAGAUGUCUGGAUUCCUUAAUUUCUCUGCAUUUAGGAUGUCAUUUAGGAUGACCUUUAGGAUGUCAUUUAGGAUGACAUUUUCAUCUGCUGAUCAUAGUCCCAGAAUUCAAUCAUCCCAUAAAUGUGUUUAAUGGUAGGUAUACAAAAUCCAGAACAUUGUUAUAAAGACUGUUUCUACUAAUUGGAGCCAGAAUUUACAGUCAUUGCGUAUUACAAACACAAAGAGUGAGCAUGAACGCACCACUUUCUGGCCCUGGAUGAGAUAAACGUAUUGCUAUCAUCUGUAAACAUGUAGGUAUGGACUUAAAGUGUAAACAAAUGAAUGAUGUAAAUAAAGAUUAUUAUAAAUGAAUCAUACAGGCAACAUCAAGUGUUGGGAGUGGAAGUUAAAUCUAUACGUUUGCCUUGAGCUGAUGUCCUUGUUUAAGUAUUUAAUUUAGAAAUAACACAGAACAUCAUGCAGCCAAGAAGCUUUAUGGAGUCUCGGUUUCUGGGUUUUGAGUAAUCCUGCUAACUGUAGCGACUAUGCAGUUAUAUUUACCU